Molecule: long non-coding RNA, 1320 nt
Filed under: Canis lupus familiaris (dog)
Lineage: Eukaryota; Metazoa; Chordata; Mammalia; Carnivora; Canidae
Description: lncRNA (ENSCAFG00040018141.1)
Source: RNAcentral
GGUGUUUGACAGUGUUCCAAGGCUGUUGGGCCAUGUGGCCCCAGACAGCCCUGCUCCCCAGACUUUCCAGGCUUGUAUUUUAUCAGAACAGAAGAGGGGUGGUGCUUCAGGAAGGAGCAGCGGCCCUGCUUGAGUAGAGCAACCCCAGACCUGGAUCAACUGUGACGUGGAACUGCCACUCAGCAGGUCUUCAGUUAAAUUCCAUAGAAAUACAUAGUUGAGCGAAGUAAGAAAACAAACUCCGUAUAGUGGAAAGUAGAAAAGCUUCUCCUAGCAAUCAAGCCCUUGAUUUAUUUCCCCUACAACAAAGUUUUGUUUUUAUUACACCCAGGGGUUUCCCUGUCUUUUUGAACAAUAGAAAAACUAAAAAUUGUGACCCCCUAAAUAAGCACCACUUGGGGCCCUGAAUGAUACUGAGCAAAUGCUAGGCGGCGUUGUCCUUCUGCUGUAAGCGAAGCAAUUCCUUAGGUAGGAAAUCAGAGCUGCUCUUUCCUGUCAGUGACUUUGCUUCCCGGUAACCUUGUGCUGUCGGAGCAGAACUUCGGCUCCACUUCUGGAGCUUGGGAUUGUGUUCUCCUGCAUCAGCUGGUUCAGGGCCUGCCAGUCCCCGGGGAGCUUGGGUGUCCGCACCCAGCACACAACUGAGCUCUUUGGGGCUGCUGCAGCCCCACCUGCACAAAUCCGGGCUCCUAUGAAGGACCGUCUCACCUCCUCUCUGCUCCCUCUACGGGAAUCCUGCUCCUGCCCCAGGACAGUCUCGGGGUUCCAGACAGAUCCCUCACAUUCGUCUACAUCUUCUGCUUCUUUCAUCCUGUGCACCUGCUCUGCCCACGUUCACCAUCCUCCUGGAGUCGCCUGUCUCGUCUUGGCCACUGCUUCAGCCCCUCCACCUGCCCUGCCAGGCCCGGGGCUGGGCCCUGGGCCUCGGGGACCACUGUGCAGCCUGGCUUCUCCUGCUCCAGCCCCAGCGCCUGGAGCCCAAGCGCCACAUCGGGGGAGCAGCCCCCUGCACCUGAGCAUUGGCGGGGACCAGGCUGCGCUCCCUCCCACUUAAGCCAAAGGCACGUGGGCCAAGGACCGGGGCCAGCCAUGACCAUCUCCCGGUCCCAUGGGUCCCUCCUCUCAUCCCGUUGCGCCCUUGCGUCUACUGUGGGCACCUGCCUGAGCGCUCCCUGGAACCCUAAGUCUCUCUGUAACCCAGAAGCUUGGGGACCCCUGUCUGCUGCUCCAGCCUCGGGGCGCUACCCCGAAGUGUCUCCUCACUUCCUGAUGCGGCCGAGGCUCCCAUCCUGUCGGUGGGCAGAGGUCUUGGAAUCGGAC